RNAcentral lists this ribosomal RNA (253 nucleotides) under uncultured bacterium. RNAcentral describes it as "partial 16S ribosomal RNA". It matches the Rfam family "Bacterial small subunit ribosomal RNA", at positions 524 to 776 of the family's 1533-position model. The record is from RNAcentral.
UACGUAGGGUGCAAGCGUUGUCCGGAAUUAUUGGGCGUAAAGAGCUCGUAGGCGGUCUGUUGCGUCGGCUGUGAAAACCCGGGGCUCAACCCCGGGCCUGCAGUCGAUACGGGCAGACUAGAGUUCGGCAGGGGAGACUGGAAUUCCUGGUGUAGCGGUGAAAUGCGCAGAUAUCAGGAGGAACACCGGUGGCGAAGGCGGGUCUCUGGGCCGAUACUGACGCUGAGGAGCGAAAGCGUGGGGAGCGAACAGG